UGUUUUUGCUACAAAAGAGGCCAUAUGACCAUUUAUUAAAAUCAACAGUAUUUACAAAAGUUUGAAGCCCAAAGAAAAUAAAGCAAAGAAAAGGUACUAGGGUCCAAGAGCCCAUGAUUCGAAAAAGUAAAAUAAAUAAAUAAAAAACAAAAAACAAAUAAAAAGGAAAGUUCGGAUUUAGAAAGCCAUCAACAUAGAACUUCCAAUCUCGUCUCCAUCUUCCUGAAAUUCCAUGGCCAUGAGUUUGACGCGCGUGUCGAUGAGCACAAAGCUAAGGAAAAAACUUUUUCAUCACAAUAGUUGAUACAUGAUCUAAUGAUCAAACGAGCUUGGAGCAAUUUGACUGAAGACACUUUAAAAUCUCACUAGUGACAUGAAAUUCAAACCAAAAAUGACUUUUUUCAACUCAUUUUGCAUAAACUCGAGCAGUAUAUGUGCAAGUAAAGACAUUUCACCCCCCAAAGUGUUAUUCGAUAACUAAUGACAAUUUUUUUUCUUAGCAGAUUGAGCCUCGUAGAGGCUAAUUCCACUGCUAAAGAGAACAAAGAUCACAUAUUUGUCAUCUUACAAAUCCAUUUUCUUAGAUCUGAGCUACAUGAGCUAUUUGAAAGUUUGAUUGCCUCCAUUGAUGCUUGGAUACUAUUUUUCUGACUGUUUGUAUGUUGCUCUAGAAAUUCAUAGUAUGUGGAUUUCCUGUACGUGUUAAUUUGUUAGUGAAUUGAAAACUUUUUGUCUUGGCACUUUUGGAAUAUGAGAUUAGGAGUAUGAGUUUUUUCAAGAUUAAUAAUUGCUUUUCCUUGUGAGGGCACCUCUUGAAUAAAUGAAUAUGAAAUACUUCGUGUACCUAUAAAAAAGAAAACUUGAUUAGCAAAAGAUCUGUUAGUGUGUUCCUUUCUCUGAAUGUGUGUUCCACUUCCACCUUCAUGUUAACCUUCAAUCUCUAGAUCAUUUUUACCUCCACCAAGGGACUUCCCAUAUUCCAUGUAAAACCUUUGUUAACAUUAGUAAUCACUAACACAACAAGCCAUAGAUAGUGUGAGAUGCAAUACUACAGCUACAUUCUCAAUGCUAUUGUUUCUUCCAUUAAAUUUGUGUCAUACUCUAAUCUUAUAGACUCAACAUACACCAGAUUUCCUUCCUCAUCUCUUUUACAGAAAACAUUCAUGUCGAGGCUCGAAUUUUCUUUAGAUGCUCUAUUUGAAUUGCAUUUGAAGAACCUAGCUCAGGUAUAUUCCAAUUAACCUUUUCACAGUCAAUAAUAGGUAUAUACUCCUCAAAGAACUUCACAAUCUAGGGCCAUGUACUAGGGAUAAACUUCAACCAAGGGUACCUACUCUUUGUCAACACAUGAAGGUUUGUGUUAACUUCUAAUACCAUACUAUUAUAAGACAUUUUUACCCUCUUGAAAUAUGAUGGUUCUUCUCUUCCAUAUCUGUCAUACAAUAAAUGUUGGCAUAACCCUGAGCAUAGACUUAAGUUUAGAUGUACACUAUGCAUUCCAUCAGUUAAAAAUAUCUCCUUAAGAUACAAAAAAGGAUCUUGCACAGCCGAUGAAUCAAAAAACAUACUCCAAUCUUUCUAGCCAUAGUAUAAGAAAUAAAAAUAUGUUCAAAAGUCCCUAAAUCAAAUCUAUCAUUGCAGCAAUAAUGAAUUUCAUCAUCACCACUAAAUCUCAUUUGAACUUCCCUAAUAGGUUUUCUCUUUUUGCAUAGUCUACAUAAGAAAAAGGAAAUUUUAAAAGGCACUCCUUUAUCCCAUAUAAUCUUAAAAUCUUCUUUGACUUCUCUUUUUUAUCUCACUAAGUCCCAGACACUUCUCACUGGGAACUUUCCUGAACUAUUCAACAUCCACCAAGACUUGUACCAUUCAUCAAUGUAUUUCAUGGUUUGGUUCCAACUUUAUUCUUGUUAUGUUUUGAUGAUUGACAAAUCUUAUUGCUAUAAUCUAGUUCAUACAAUGUUUGAUUAUUACGUAUGUUCAACUAUUUGCCUAACUUGGUAGAAGGACCAGUUACAAGAACUAGUGUCCUAAUAUGUGGUUUUAUAGCUACACACAUUUGUCCUAUGUGCCAACUAUCUAGUACUUUUCUAGACAAUGUCAACAUAUUAGUGGGAUAAAUUUUCAGUGGUCCAUCUAGCAUCCACUAAUGAGGAAACUUCUCUCCCAACGAUCUUCAUAUAUAUAUAUAUAUAACACAUACACACAUACAUAAUAUCCUUGAGGAGAGAAGCUUAAGAUUUUACACAAAUAAAAAAGAUUUUUUCUCAAAGUAAAAGCUUUAGCUGAUAGUGCAAGACUUAACAACUUAGAAAUUCCUUACUCUUAGUGAUAUAUGUUUUCGUUUCUAGGUUGAUUGGGGUUCUUGUUGUGGUAUUACAAUUGUAAACUAACAUAUCAUUCUAAAGAUUCCAGUGAGCAGUUUCCGUUCAACUUUUGUUCAAAGAGUGAGUUGUUUGAUCUUAGGUGGAUUUAUGUACCUAAGUGUUGUUAUCUAGCCUUAUUUAACUUAGUUUUGAGGACUUCUUGUGUGCGUAAUGAGUUAAUAUUGUAAAAAUGAGUAUCUAAGUGUUACAUUAUGUGUUUAUGAUGUUUAAUGUGUGUUAAAGCAAAAGUUGAAAUUAAAACGUUCAAUUAGAAUUCAAAUGAGAAAACUAGUACUCUUAGCUUGAGCUAUGUACCAUUCUAGUUUGUUUCGUUAGAUUCUAUGAUAUUAUUAGCUCUAAUUCGUGGGAUUUGAUGAUGUAUGAAGCUUGAUGUAUGGAUGAUAAACAAUCUAUUAUUGAA
This 2784-nucleotide long non-coding RNA is filed under the name Capsicum annuum. RNAcentral's name for it is "long non-coding RNA (CANN_LNC012323)". The record is from RNAcentral. Lineage: Eukaryota; Viridiplantae; Streptophyta; Magnoliopsida; Solanales; Solanaceae.